Pelobates cultripes (western spadefoot toad) is the source of this 972-nucleotide non-coding RNA. The record is from the annotation of a GenBank genome assembly. NCBI's taxonomy places the organism in Eukaryota, Metazoa, Chordata, Amphibia, Anura, Pelobatidae.
AUAGAAGAGCGUGUAGAAUCGAUAUUGCUAAUACCGUGGUAAAUCCCUUGACGCGCGCGUUUCACCCGACCAGGCUCGUCAGAAGGGAACCGGUCGGUGUGGAACACUCGGUUUAAAAAAGAGCCAGUGGCUCGUGAUUGGUCAAGUCAAAUGUUUCUGAUUGGUGGAUAUCUCAACGUCAUGGGCCAUAGACCCGCCCAGUUUAUGACGUCAGGGGAAGAUUGGUUGAUUAACCAUUUCAGGUCCCAGACAGAGAGCACACUAAUGUCGGAAGAUGUUAUUGAUAUCUUGGCUAAAAAACGAGGAUGGUAAUAAGGAAAAAAAAAAGAAGAUGUUUAAACAAUGUAGUCCAAUUCUGUUGGUAUAAAUAAUAUAUGCCCAUUAAUACCACAUUGAAGUGGUAAGAAUAUAUCUGUAUAGGAAAUGUAUAAUUAACACUAUUUAUAUCAUGGUCAGAAGGACCAAAGGUAAUAAAGGCUAGCCCUUCUGAAUGUAAAUUGUACGAGAGGAUUAUAUGGAUGCAUGUAAAACUAAAGAAUAAAUAUAAACAAAAAAUCGCCUAGAAGUGUGCUCAAUUAUUUUAAUUAAAUUAAGACUGUGUAUUGUCAUUGGAUACAAAAUGACUAGAUAGAACAGAUGUGUGUGGUUACUUGAUAGCAGAGUGUAGCAAAGAGGCAGAUCGAACUGAAUAGGUGCCGUGCAAGAGAGCACCAAAUUUUAACGGAAUCUGUAAUUAUACACAGAGACACUUGAUAAAGAAACCUUAAUCUUGUUGUCGAAUAUGGUAGUAAUAGCUUCUUAAUGCACCCAAAAUAAUUAGGAACAUGAGAGGGUCCCCUAUAAGUGUGACUGCUUAAAGUUAUAUAAGAAUCUAGAUAUAUAUAACCUGAAGUAAUGCAAUAGUAGGGAUAGGUAGGGAACACAUCUUGUUGCACCAUGUGUAGCUCGGUGAGAAGGGUAAGUAUAUGUGUG